RNAcentral lists this transfer RNA (68 nucleotides) under Marmota monax (woodchuck). RNAcentral describes it as "tRNA.Ala". The stretch from base 5 to 65 matches the Rfam family "tRNA", at positions 6 to 65 of the family's 71-position model. From Rfam's summary of the family: Transfer RNA (tRNA) molecules are approximately 80 nucleotides in length. Their secondary structure includes four short double-helical elements and three loops (D, anti-codon, and T loops). Further hydrogen bonds mediate the characteristic L-shaped molecular structure. tRNAs have two regions of fundamental functional importance: the anti-codon, which is responsible for specific mRNA codon recognition, and the 3' end, to which the tRNAs corresponding amino acid is attached (by aminoacyl-tRNA synthetases). tRNAs cope with the degeneracy of the genetic code in two manners: having more than one tRNA (with a specific anti-codon) for a particular amino acid; and 'wobble' base-pairing, i.e. permitting non-standard base-pairing at the 3rd anti-codon position. The record is from RNAcentral. Lineage: Eukaryota; Metazoa; Chordata; Mammalia; Rodentia; Sciuridae.
GGCUUGUAACUCCGUGGUAGAGUGCUUGCCUCGCAUGCAUGAGGCACUGGGUUCAAUCCUCAGCACCA